RNAcentral lists this long non-coding RNA (260 nucleotides) under Lathyrus oleraceus (garden pea). RNAcentral's name for it is "Pisum sativum (pea) long non-coding RNA (PSAT_LNC033167)". The record is from RNAcentral. Lineage: Eukaryota; Viridiplantae; Streptophyta; Magnoliopsida; Fabales; Fabaceae.
UGGAGUGGCAGUCACCCACGUUUUAUAGUCACACAUAUUUGUUCUUGUUGAGGAUUUUCCUUGUGUUUCUUCUUUUUUUUGUUUUCCCUAAUUUUUGCGUAGACUGAUUUUUUGAGCUUAUAGUCUAUCGGGAUGCCCUAAUUUUUUCCUAAGUCACUCGUUUUCAAGUUUUCAACUUAGCGGGCUUUUUUUUUUUAAUUUCUCUUUUUUUUUGUUGGAACAAAUCGUGUGACACUUGUUCGUUUGAUUUGUUGAAGGGU